RNAcentral lists this unclassified non-coding RNA (303 nucleotides) under Hevea brasiliensis (rubber tree). Lineage: Eukaryota; Viridiplantae; Streptophyta; Magnoliopsida; Malpighiales; Euphorbiaceae. The record is from RNAcentral.
UAGGAUUACUUUCCUUCUUAGUUAGGAUCACAAUUGUAUAAAUUUGUUGUAAUCCUUCUUUGAGAUAUGAUAAAAUAUUUUCACAACAAUGACCAAUGCUAGAAAUUUUUUAUUAAUCAAGUUGAUGAGAUUAGCCAUUAAAAAUAUUCAAGGCAUUUUAACUGGGAUUAAAAAGCAUCAGUUUCCACUGAUUGGUUAAGUAUUUAAUCCCAAUUCAAAGAAUCCAACAACUACAUUACCUUUUCAACCACAAAUUUAGAUCUAUAUCAUUGUCCACCACUCAUCAAUAAUGUACUAAAAUAA